Acinonyx jubatus (cheetah) is the source of this 17370-nucleotide long non-coding RNA. RefSeq lists it as uncharacterized. The record is from RefSeq and is a predicted model, not a curated record. NCBI's taxonomy places the organism in Eukaryota, Metazoa, Chordata, Mammalia, Carnivora, Felidae. The transcript has 2 exons.
CUCAAGUUGCCACAGAGAAUCUCUGUGGCUGGAUAAUCACUCUGGGACAUCUUAGAAUUAAUAAACAUGCCCUAUUUUUUCUACCUUUGUUAAGACACAAAGGCCCAGGAGAAUGACAUCAGUUGGCAUGUGGCCCCUUAGGGAUCUUGGGGAAUGAAAGAGAGGAUAUGACAGAAAAAAAUCUUCCAUAGGGUUUGAAUUCAGUAUCCCUAGAAGACUGAGUAAAGAUCAUUCCUGAAGAGGAAACUGAGGCCCUAUUCAAAGAGUGGAAAGAGUAGAUACUUUGAAGCCACCCCCCCGCAAAAAAAAAAAAAAAAAAAAGACACAACGUCACUAUGAUGAGUAAAGGUGUCACAGGAAAUAGACAAACCACAUAGAAACUGAUAGAUUUAAUGAUAUGCUUGAAAAAACUUUUCCUGAUUUGCAAAACUACUUUAUUCUGUAAAUUAAGAGAGAACAUUUAGAACUACCAAGAUCAGAGGAAACAUUUUACUAGUAUGUUUUAUGUAUGUGAACUAGAAAAACAAAAAAAACAACUCCUGGGUGCUAAAACCAUUGAAGAACUAGCUGUCAAUGAAUGAAGGUCACAAAGACAUCUGAUCUAACACAGGGGAAACAUACAUAAUGGAUCCUUAUAUUAAAUCAGUUUACUCCGCCAAGAUACCCUUCAUUUCAAAGGUGGCAAAAGUAUUGUUACCCAAAUUCACCAAAAGAAAUCAACUGCUCCAUACACCACUACAGAAGAUUGCUGAAGGACUUCCUGAAAAGAGAAGUAGCUAAUGCCACUAAGUUUAGGAAUGUCAAGGGGAAAACCAUAUAGGAAACUGAUAGGAUUAUGGAGUGGAGAAGAGAGAAAUAAGAUUGAGAAUAUGAGUUUAGUGGUAGAAAGAUUCACUCUUUUCUCAUAAUAGGAUUCAGACAUUUGGGGUACUACGGUUCUAGCCAUUAAUUUUGUAGAGUUUGAUUAGUGACUAAUAAUUAUAAAAAUGUUUAGAAAUCCCUUGGAAACUCAGGAUGCAUUGAUGGGGUUCCCUUUCAAACUCAAUAUCUGCCACCAUCUACGAGAAUAAAGUCGUCUUCCAGACCAUCCACCCAUCUCCUGCCUUAUUCUGCAAAGAAAUUAAAGUGACUUACAGUAAAUGUGCCUAAUACACACAGAGCUGUUGAAAACAGAGAAUGAAGUCAGAAUAUUUUUUUAAUUAAUGUUUUUAUUUCCAUUCCAGUUAGUUAACAUACAGUGUUAUAUUAGUUUCAGGUGUACAAUGUAGUAAUUCAACACUUCCAUACAUCACCCAGUGCUCAUCAUGAUAAGUGCUGUUCUUAAUUCCCAUCAUCUAUUUCACCCAUCCCCCACCCCUCCCCUCUGCUAACUAUCACAUUGUUCUCUAUAAUUAAGAGUUCUUUUUUGUAUCUCUCUCUCUUACCGCUUUUUUAUAAACACUAAAAAUUGGAUAAUGUAAAAUAACCCACAUGUCACCUUAUACAUACUAAAUUCUCCAUAAAAUGUAGAACUAUCUGGUAUAAACAGGAAAAAAAAUCCAGCAGAAAUACAUUAAUACCCAUCUCCCCAAGUCCUGCCUAAAUUGUAAAAAUUGGGUUUAGAUUUAUAUCCUCCUCUCUGGAUAGUAAUUCAAUUAUGGUCUCUAAUAAAGUUGAUUUGAAUCCAGAAAGCAGAAAUAUCAAUAGAGGGCAUAAUUGCAAAAACACACACACAAAAAGGAUUGAAAAAAAGUCAUAAAACUAUAAGAUCAAAAUAUAUUAAGCCUAUGCAAUUAAUAAAUAACGGAUGUGAGCAGUACAGUUUAAAAGGAGGCCUGAAAUAAUGGCAUAAUGAAAUAGAAAAAUUAAGUAAUUGAAUUCUUGAAGAAUAUUUAUUAUAUGUUACAGACCAUAAAAUUUUUUUAGUAAGAUAUAUGUGUAAUGCCACAGUCAAACUGUAACACUGGGGGGCACCUGGGUGACUCGGUCGGUUAAGUGUCCAACUUCAGCUCAGGUCAUGCUCUCAUGAUUUGAGAGUUCAAGUCCCAUGUGGGUCUCCCUGCUGACAGCACAGAGCCUGCUUUGGAUCCUCUGCCUUCCUCUCUAUCCUUCCCCUGCUGGUUCUCUUUCUGUCUCAAAAUCAAUAAAGCUUUUAAAAAAUAUAUAAGAUUGAGCAUAAAUGAUACACAUAUUUAAAAUGGUGAAACCGCUUGAAAAUUUUUAAAUCUCUUAACUGGAUCAGGGAAUGAAUCCAUAAUAUUAAAAUAGACUACUCAACAAACAACUAAAGUAUAAGCAUCCCCUUUAAAUUCGGUGGAAAGUAACCAAGGUUGUUCUUAGAAAAACACCUCAUUUUAAAUGUCUAUAGUAUGAAAAAAAUACUACAUGGUUAACUAAGUCUAUAUUAAUUAGCAGAAAAGAAAGGGAAAUAGCAAAAGUAAGAAUACUAAAUACAUUGUAAGAUGAGAAAAGGGUUGGAUUUCCAAAACUCCUUUUCAUCAAUAUUCUGAGAAAAAGUUUUGGGGGAAGAACUUGGUAACAGAAAGACCCAUGUUGGAGGAGGAGGAGUUAGGGAGGCUAACAGGGAAGUGUUGGAUUGUUAGAUGAGUUAGGGUGCCAGCAGGAGAGCUCUCUCGUGGGUGUGUGUUUGAGUAGAGCUGCACCCUGAAGUGGUGUGGGAUUGGACGGCGAUGCAGAUAAAGCGGGGAGUCACAACAUGAGAGAAGUCGUGUUAUCUCUUCAGUGAUGCUGGUCGCAUUCCUGCCAGGCACCGCACACUGUUCCUUGCCUUGAGACAUACCUGAGAAUAAAAGCACCUCAAAUCCCUGCCCUGUGGAUUUUAUCUUCUGGCGAGGAAACGUAGCUCUUCUAAACCAAAACAGUGACACUUGAACAGACCUGUAAGAAAAAAGGUUUGUGUUUUUGGUUUGUUAGUUUUGUUUUUGCAAUGAUAGGAUAACAAGGCAGAAAACGGACUUAAGGAUAUCCACAUGACCCGACCAUAGCUCCAGCUUCUUAGCCUUUCUGUCAGUCUUGCACUUUCACACCAUAUAAGGAUGUAACCAUGCCACACAGCCCUUCCGGCAAACCUCCACUGGUCCUUGUGACUUUGUAAGUUGAGUCUUUUUGAUUCUGCUUACAGAGCCUUUAAUAAUCUGGUCUCAGCUUAUCUUUUCUUGUUCUGUUCAUUGUGCCCCUCACACACCUUCCUCUGUAACUACAAUGUGCUUUUUUUUUUCCUUCCUAAAAUACUCCAAGCACAUCUGUGCACUUUUUAUAUCCACACUUGCUAUCCCCAGAAUGGCUCUCCCACCUCCCCCAACCUAGAUAUGGCCCUUCAGUGAGGCCCUCCCUGACCCGACUGCUGGUUCCACUUCUACAAGGAGGAGUCCAAGACUCCCUUCCUGCAUCCUCUGCACAUGCUGUUACCGCUUGUUGUUCCUGGUCCUCUUACUCCUCCACCGUCCCUUUCCCCAGUAGAAUCUGUGUAACUCAAAAAUAAGGAUUAAGUUUCUGCUGUUUUUAUAUCCCUUUGCUGAACACUGUGUGUCUAGCACUAGAAAAUAUUUAGUAAAUGUUUCUGACUAAACCUUUAUCAGGUCUUCUGUGACUUUUAUUUUUUUAAAACCCAACAGAAAAUUCUUCUAAUUUUAAAGCAAAAUCUGUGCAUUGAUAAUGUAAAUAAGCAAAUGGCCUGGAAGAUUGAGGCAGUGUGUUGAGACAGAAAGAAUAUAUAACAAGGUGGCUGAAAAUAUGCACAAUCUCUGAUCCCCUGUGUAAGCCCCCACAGCUGUACCCCACUCCCCACCUCAACCCCUCCCACUGAUCCUGGCAGAACAGCUCGCUUUUUUUUUUUAAGAGAAAGUUUUGAAAACCAGUGAGCUAGAGACUACAUCGAAAUUUAAUUAAUUACUAAGUAUCGUUGGUCAUUUAUGGUGGACCUUUAAAACAGAAUAGACAUUAGAACAUUUUGUGAAAUUGUAAACAUGAAGAAAUUAUAAAAGGUAAAUGGGAAAGGAAUUGUGCAAUGUAUAUUUGCUUUAGUUUGAGGAAAUGAUCCAGCUAAAACUUUCUUAGCCAUUUAAUGGUACACUUAUGCUACUUUUCUGAAAAAGAACAAUUUUAAUCAUGUUUACUAAAGGCUAUUGAUUGUUUCCUUAUGUUAUUUUGUACUGAUGUAUUUAACCUUAUGCUUCUUAGUUUAGGUUGAUAUUUACAUAUACUUUAGGUAUUAAAUUUACUGUUUAGCAUUUAUUAUUGAAUUUUUUACAAAAGAAAGGAAUAUGAUAUAGUGAACAUCAGUUUUCACUUAAAAAGUUUCAAUGUGACAUUAGAGUAUAGUAAUUUCGCUUAUUUGUUAAUUAGAUUUCCAUGGUUAAUGAGUUAUAAUCAUCUCUCAUUGAGUAUUUUAUUAUGAUUGGAACUUUAAUAUGUACUUUAAAAGAGCUAGGAGUGGGGCGUCUGGGUGGCUCAGUUAAGCAUCCGACUUUGGCUCAGGUCAUGAUCUCACAGUCUGUGAGUUAGACCCCUGCGUCAGGCUCUAUGCUGUCAGAGCCUGGAGCUCUGGAGCCUGCUUGGGAUUCGUAUCUCCCUCUCUCUCUGCCCCUCCCCCAUUCACGCUCUGUCUCUCUCUGUCUUGCAAAAAAUGAAUAAACGUUAAAAAAAAAUUAUAAAACAGCUAGGAGUAUAUGGAAUUGAUUAUAAAUAAUAUACAUUUUAGUUAAAUGAAGUGACUACAUUUUUUUGUCCUAGAGUGAAUUGCUGAAAUCAUAUAUACUCCUUAACUCAGGUUUGCUAUAUGUGUUUAUCUCUGUAUAAAAAUCUAUCCUAUGUUUAUAGUGGUUUGCAAAAGCACAGAAAUCUUAUCAGUAAGAACUUUCUCUCUACAAUUCCUGAAAGUAGUUCUACAGUUUGCUAAUAAUUCCAGCUCUAAAACUUAUUCAUACUAAUGUAUAAGUGGCAGAAGCUGGUCUGAUUUCUCUGAUUGUAAACCAAACAAGAAAGGUUGGCACCCAAAGAAAAGGGAAAGUCAGAAAAUUAACUUGUUUCUUUUUUGUGUUUUAAGUAAACUCUACCCCCAAGGAGGGGCUCAAACUCACGACCUCAAGAUCGAGGUGCACUCCCUACCAUCUGAGCCAGUCAGGCACCCCUAACUUAUUUCUUAAUGAAAUAUCUGUAUCCUUUUUAGUUUAGGUCAGUACUUUGCACACAGUAAGAAAACUGCAAAUUCACAUCAGUGAGUGUAGACCCAGGCUCUGAUGUAGUGACAGCCUCAAAAUCUCAGUGAUUUGAGACAGUAUGCUCUGUAUGUUCCACAUGUUCUUCCCAUGCUAUAUGCUGUGCCCAUGACUCUGUGUCUCAUCAUCCACCCCCCCCCCCCACCCCAGAGCCCAGACUGAUGGAGCAGCUGCCAUCUAAUCAUUUCCAUUUGCCAAGAUGGGAGUCAGGAAGUUGUGUCUCAUCAUCCACCCUCCAGAGCCCAGACUGAUGGAGCAACUGUCAUCUAAUCAUUUCCAUUUGCCAAGAUAGGAGUCAGGAAGUUGGAGAGUGGAGUUGGCAAAAGAGAAUCUAGAAAAUGCACACUGGCUUGUAAUGCAUCUAUUGGAAAGACACCUGUUAUUUCAGCCCACAUCUCAUUGGCCAGAGCAAGUCACAUGGCCACUGUAACUUAAAAGGUUGGGGGAGGGGAUGCAUAGUAUCACUGUAUCCCCAGGAGGAAAUUUUAGUGAACAGUGUUAAUGACUGCCACAGUGGCCACUGACUUGAGUUAAAAUGUAUAGCCUUCCUGACCACCAGGAGUAGCAGAAGACAGGGAUUUGCGAGAAGAGAGGAACUUUUCCAAGGAUCCCCAAACCAUAAUCCAUCUGUACUGCUAGGAAGAAACUUCCCCCCUGUGGCAUCAAGGUAGUAAGUGGAGGGUUGUGCCUUGGGAUAGGAAUUCUCAUCUUCAGGAACUUUUCAAGUAAAAGGCUACCUGUUAGCAUUAGUCUACAAAGAUCUGUUUCUCCAAGAAGUAUCUUCUAUUGUAGACCUCUCGCCUAACUUUCCAGAUUUUAAAAAUAAAGUUGACAAACAGACAUAAAGUACUCUAUCGAAAAGGAAUGUCUGUCACCACUAUUGUCGUUGUCUGAUGUGAGAGUGAAUCGUUGCUUUUUGUCAGCACCCUAUUGUGUUGACCAGACAUCGAGGACCUGGUGCUCUUCCUUCAACCGCUUUCUCUUUGACUUAAGUGUUCCCAGGCCAGUCGUUUCUGGUUUUACAGAAGUCUAAUAAAAGAAAUGAGGUAAUAUAUUGAUAUUUAUGUUGAAUCAUUUCACAAUUCACAAUGUCUGUUAAAACCAGUAUUCCAAGUCAUUUUUACUGUAUGAAUCACAUCAACCCGGAUUUCUAGUACCAGGGUGUGUGUGUGUAUGUGCGUGUGUGUGUGUGUUUAAACAAAAGUUGUAUUUUUCCAGGAUAUCCUUUGUAUUCUUUCCUCUUUGAAAUUGUGGUGUCCUUUAGAAGGGUACCAAGAGGUAGCUGUAGCAAAGAAUUUAAAAUUUAGUAGGGCUAGUAGAAAAUUCCUCAGAAUAGUAGUAAUUUGCCAUCUGGCAAGUUCACUUAUUUACUGAAUCAGCAGAUGCACAUGGAAUACCUGCUUUGAGGCACUGCACUUGGUGCUGCAGAAACAACAAACAAGGGAACGACAGUCUCUGUUGACAAAUAUUAAUCAUUUAGAUUUCACAACAACCCUAUAAAAUAAGAAUAGGUAUUGUUUUUAUUCUCAUUUUAUGAAGGAAGAAACAGAGCAUAGGUUGUUAAGUAACUUGCUCAAAAGCAUGCAAAGUGGCAGAGCUGGGCUUCAAACUCAGACAUUCUGGCUACAAGAUACCAAGUAACAGCAAGACAUUAGGGAUCUCAAACAUACAAGAUAGAUGUAGUAGGCUAUAGCCUGAACAGAUGAGUCAUCAACAGCUAAAUGACCGUAGAAGGAAUAGAAGGGGAAGGGGUUGCCCAUAGCAUAUAAUAGGUUGAGAAAAGGAGGCCUUAACAUUUAAGCAUUAGUGAGAAGAAGGACUAGAGAAGGAGACUGAGAUGCGGUGGGCCCAGAAGUAGGAGGAAAACCAGUAGAAUGUGAUUAGCCAAGACAAAAUAGUAUUUUGAAAAAAUAAGUCUUCAGCUGUGUCAAAGGCUGCUGCUAGGGCAAAUUGUUACAAGGACUGAAAAGUAUCUUUGUUACAUAGCAAUACAGAGGUCAUAGGUGACUUUACUGAGAGUAUUUUGAUAGAGUAAUAGCGUAGAAUCGAAAUUAUCUUUCAUUUAAGAGGAGACAGUCUUUAAGAAGGUGGAGGAAGAUAGGAUUCAGAGGACAGAUGACCUUAGGAAGGGAUCCUUCCUCCAUUGCAGACUGAGAGUAGAGGAGAAAACAUGUCAGUGACUCUGUAGAUUUGAUGGGCCAUCUGAUGGCCCCUGUUAACUAUACGAAGAAGUAGAAGACAAGGACAUCUGCCUAGACUUGAAGAGAGAACAUAUGUUGAGUGUAUAUAAUAUAGAAUUGUCAUUCUAGAGACAGUUGACUAGAAACAUGGUAGAGUGUCUAGGUUGGUGACCAUGAAUUCACGAUGGCAUCAGUCUUCCUAGGUUCCCAGGUAUAUAUAUUGCUCAGUAGCUCAUAUACAAGGAGGAGAAGGUAGGUGGUUGGUUUUAGUUGGGUUUUACCAGGCAGAAGUGACAGAGAAAAAGAAAUGCAUGGGUUCUGUGCUAUUGGCAAAAAUAUUAUUGAAAUUACAGACUACACUGUCCAAAACGAGUAUAAGGCAGUAUGAAAAAAAGCAGGUGAGUGAUGGUUAGAAAAUGGACUGGUUGAAUUGCCCAAAGUUUAGUUACAGUAGAACAGGAGUAGCAGUAAUUUACAGGUGACUGAAAGGUCUGAAAGUAAAGGCUAUAUAGUGGGAUGGGUGAAUAAGGGAUUUUAAAAAUGAAGGGGUUUUGAGUGAUGUCAUAAUCUAGGAUAAUAUCACAAGACUAAGUGGUUAAGGUGGGAUUUGCCAGAGUCUAUCUGCAUGCCUGACUAUGCAAUACAUUUUGACUGAAAAAGUAUAAUGUAAAAAUCGGUCUUUAAAAAAAACUGCCAAGCAUCAGUGAAUUUUUUAAAUUUGAUAAAGUAUAAACACUGUUUACAUGGUAUUCAUAAAUGUGUAUGAAAAUAUGCACUGAACAAAGGUCACUGUUUAAACAAAAAACGAGGGAAGUAUUCACACAGUCUGAAAUUUAAAUAUAAGAUUGUUGGACAAAUAUUCAUGACUCUAGAGCCUUAAGAAAUUAGUACAGAUGAUUAGAGUUGGCAGUAGAUAUGUAAACAACACAUAUUAGCUAAUUACUUGGGUUUAAUGCAUCUGUAUACCUAUGCAGAGCUGUUUCUUUUAAGCUACAACUAGAUGAAAUUUUACCUGUGAUAAAUACAGUAAAUUUGAUUGUGUGAUGUGAAUUUGUUUUGGGUUUUCUUUAAAAAUUACACCUUACCUAGUAUAUGAAACUAUUUUAUUUACAAAAAUUUGCUUUGGCAAAAAUUUUGUGGUUUGGGAUUUAGGUAUUAUCCUAGUCCAUUUGGGAUGCUGCAACAGAAUACCAUAGACACAUAGCUUACAAACAACAAACAUUUAUUUCUCCAAGUUCUGGAGACUCAGAAGUCCAAGGUCAAGGUCCUGGAAGAUUUACUGUCUGGUGAGAACCAAUUUUCAGGUUCACGGGUAGCUAUCUUUUCCAUGUGUCCUCACAUGGCAAAAGGGAUGAAGGAGCUUUUGGGGGCCUCUUUUAGAAGGUCACUAAUUCCAUUCAUGGGGACUCUAUCCUCAAGACCUAAUCACCUCCCAAGUCCCUACUUCUAAACACCAUCACAUUGGGUAUUAGGACUUCACAAAUGAAUUUUGGGAGGACACAAACAUUCAGUUUGUAGCAGGUGCCUUUUCAAUAACUCCUCUGAAGAUUUCAUUUAUAAAGCUUUCUUGUGUUACCUUUUUAUGAUAUAGGUUUAUAGAUUAUGUAUUUUUUUCAGUUUUUUCUUUAAGAAAUUUUUGAAAAUAGUUCAUUGGCAAGUCUUAGGGUUAGCCAUUGUAGUAACUGAAUCCGUUUCUACUACAUUACAAAUUGUUUCUAAGAGAGAUCUGCUAUAUCUGAAUAUGCUACCAUUAAUUAUAUGCUCGGAAGCAAACAGUUCAUCUUAUAACUUAACUGAAAAUUCUUUUACAAUGAUGAUAAAAUAAAUGUAAGUCUUGAGGGUAAUGUUUAUUUUUAACUUAAUAAUUGAUCUUUAUUUUAAUUUGAGUUUUCCAAUUCCUCUAAAGCAGUACAAAUAGCGAUUGAUUCCAGGGUCCUGCAAAAUGAGGAAGUCGAAGAGUUUUAAUGGUAUAGGCAUAGAAUACAAGAAUUUUUUUCAUAGCACAUUAUUCUAAGCACUUUUGUUCUAUUUUAUUCUUGCCAUUAGGUAGAAGUUUAGAGUUAGACCAGAUAAGCAGAAUAGAUUGUCACAUUUAAGUUCCAUGUGGUUGAUGCAUUUACUUGUUUAAUCUUGUUUUAAUAGAUUAUUUUAAGUUCUUGAUAUAAUAAUAGACACUGUUUUUCUAAUUUAUAAAUCACUGUUAAUUUUUGUGUUUCAAUUCUUAUGGCUAACAUAGUAUAUAAUUAUUAAAUAGGGGCUUCUUACUUUAGUCUUCUCUCACAGACUUCCUCUGGUCAGGUAGAAAGUACACUUACUACUCAAUUUAGACUUAACCACUAAUUUUGGAAAACGACUAUAGCAUUUAUGUUGAGCUUCCGCUGUCCAAUCUUUAUGACUAUCUAAUGCUUUAUGACUGGGGUUAGAAUAAUACUAACUCAUUUAACUCUGAAGAUUUAGUUGUAGAGGACCUUAAAGCUCUAUCAUCUUGUCAGGCAUGCAACUGUCAACACGUUUAACCACUUAUGAUUCACACCUUUAUUCAGCAAAUAUUAUGGGCCAUCUGUGAUUACUUUGAGCAUCUAUUAUGUGCCAGUCUAUGUUCUUAUCUCUGGAAGAUUCAGCAAGGAGCAAAUUUGACAAACUCCCAGUUUCAGGAAAUGUACAUGCAAUGAAAUAGUAUGAUAAAUAAGUUCACAGGAUAAUUUCAGACAGCAAUAAGUGCUGUGAAGAAAAUACAAGACAAUCGUGUGAUAAAAUGUGAUAGAGGAGUAGGAAGAUGAGGUCUACUUUGGGUCAAAUUGGAGCCAGGACCAAAAUGACACCACUGAAGAUUUGGAGAAAAGAACAUUCCAGAGGAACUUGGGAGUUGAGUUUAUGACAGAUUUUUCUCUUAACUUUGGAACUAAGAUGAAGAGGAGGAGGAUGGUGGUGGUGAUGAUAAUGGUGGUAUUAAGAUGAUUUUUUGAGGGUUUCUUGGGUGUCAUAGUCAACACUGGAGAAAUUGCGUAAUCUCCAUGUUGCAGAUACACUGAAGCCUGUGCACCUGAUUCCUGAUUCACACAGGAGGUGUUAGGGCUGCCCACACAGUAUUCCCAAAGCCAGAGCUACCAGGGUUAGUACCACAAUCUUUUUUCUUCUUUGCUUGCUCAUCUUUCCAACUUCUCAACUUCAUAUAAUGAGCUAGCAGCAAUCUUCCAUAACCUGUGAAAUCUUACACUUCCUGAACAGCAAAAAAUAAUUGAGGUAUGAAAACUAAAUUGUGUGAUACAUGCAUAACACUUGUGACAUUAUAACAGAUUUGUACUCAAGUUGUAUUUGAAAUUAUUUAUUCACUGCAUUCAUGUCAUUUUCCAAAACAGAGACAAAGUUCUUGAAUUUCUUUUCAGAUAAUUUUUUAGUUGCAUUCUUAUUUUCCUUCUCCAUUUUUUUAUUCUUCAUUCCCUCACCUUCUUCAUCAGUAGAAUAAAAUGCUUCUCAUUGUCCAGUGAAUACAUGUAGCAAAAACCUUGCAAUGUGUCUAACACAUCUAUGUGAUUUUAGCAUCAAUCUUUCUUUUUAUCUGUAUCAGAUACAGUUCAAAAUGUUAAUAAAAUCUCUGUACAUUUAAGUGUGACACUGUAAUGAUUAAGGUAUAUAUUCAACUUUUUUAUAAGUAAGGCACAUAUUGAAGAUGGCAGCAAUUGAGAGCACGGAAUGAUGUAAGUGUACAUAAUUUAGAAAAGAAUAGUAUUUUCAAUUUUGAAUCAUAUUUUCUGAUAAAGAAAUAUGAAGGAAAAAAGUAGUACCUUAUCAUUUCAAAUGACACUAAAAUAUUUUGGCUUUAUUAACAGACAUAAAUUGUGAAGGUUUACCAAUACAAUUGGAAUGCUUUUAUAUAAUUAGAGAAUUCCAAAAAGGAUUUAGAAAUAGCUCAUAAAUCUACCAUAUGUCAACAGCACUUUAAUAAAUUCCUCCUGACUAUGAAUAAAAAUUUGAAAUCCUGUUGCCUAUUUGCUUUUUCUAUCAUAUUCACUCAACAAAGAGAGGUUGGAAAACUCAGAUUUAUCGUCAUACGUCAUAAAAGUCACUGCAAAAAAUGAUUAAAAAUAUACUUAUUAAAGAUUUGCAGUGAGGCAGCAUUUAAUAGAAUGUUUUCCUUUAAUUAUGCUAACUGUUGUCAAAAGACAAGACUCAAAACUGGGACGCCUAAUGUUUAACUAAGAUUACAUCCAGUGACCUGGAAUUCUGCCAGGAGUUUUUUCCUAGGGGUCCAUACAUUGUGGAAUUCCAAGGUACCACCCCAAAUAAUAGAGUUUGAUUAGUCUGUAGAUAAAUGAGCAGUUCUCACACUUCCAAGUAGUGCCAGUCUCAUCUCACCAGUGCCUGUUGUUGCAUUUUCCAUGAGUUUUACUUCAGUGCUUUUCCUCCAUGUUCAGACAGAUGCAGAAUAAUAAUUUACACAUACUCAAAGUAAAAUACCAACACUUCAACUCCUCUGCCCCCUCCCCUUUUUGCCAUCAAACUAGCAAAGACUAAAAACUAUGUUAAUACCCAUUUGGGUGAGAGUAGGGCAAAAGUUCACUCAGGCAUUGCUGAAGGGAAUGUAAUUUGAUGUGAUUGCUCUGAAAAGCUAUUAAGUAUAUGCAUAUAAGAAGAUCCUUAAUAAAGAUAUUUACUUAGCUUCUGUUAUUCUACGUUGGGGAAUCUAUCCAAAGAAAAUAAUCCAAAAUGUAAUCAUAUUAUGCCUAAAGCAGCUAAUGGAUAUAUUUUAUGUACUCAUUAUUAGGAGGAGACAUCUCAAAUAUCCAACAAUAAGAGAAUGAUGGAACAGAUCAUGAAAUUCCCAUACAGUGGUUUACUGUGCGACCAUUAAAAUUUAUUCUUGUUCAUUUAUUUAAUGGCAUGGAUAAUUAUUGAUAUAAUAAAACAAGAUACAAAAUUUCCUGUAUAAUUUCAGCUAUGGAAAAUAGAAUAAUUACAUAAGAAACUUCUUAAAUAUAAAUAAUAUUUCCCUCUACCUUUUUGGGGUUUUUUUUUUUUUGGUACUUAUCAAAGUUUCAGUGGUGAGCUAGUUAGUAAUAAUCUUAUGAUCAGAAAAAUAUUAAAGGAAAAUUACAAUAGACUUGGGGAAAAAUGAUUACCAAGCUUUUGUCCCUAGACUUACUCAGGAUUCAGUUGUUCUAGCCUCUCUUCAGAUUUAAAAUUUCUUUGACUUUUCUUACAAGAAUCCAGCCUGUAGAGUCUUGAAAGUCACCUUUUUCCCUUUCUGACAUCUGUUUCAUAAAGAGAAUGACUUUACUCAGUGAUAAUUGAAUUUCCCUCUUUAUAGUCAAUUUAUAGAUUUCCAUUUCAGAUGGUGGUUUAUUUAAAACACCAUCUUUUCGAUGUUAAUAUUAUCCUCAGUUCACAUGGAAAUAGAGGUGACACAAAGCUUAAGUAAACAGAUUGGUCAUAAACUCUUGCAUCGUCUCAGAUCAACUCCUUAGUCUUUGUAUUACCAAAAGCAGUUUAAAAAGACAAGGGCUAAUUAUAGUAAUGAGAUUUUUUUUGUUACGCACAUAUACAAAACAACUUAAUGUAGGAUACAAAAUUAUUGAGUAUUUCAUAUCUAAAAACAUGUGAAUGGGAAAUCUCUCUGCAUUUUCCAUCGUCAACCACUUGAAAGGCAAAAGAGUAGAAUUAUUUUUGUUAAAUGUAUAGAUUCAUUAAUAAAGUUUAUGUUCAUUGCUAACAUAGAAAGAAAUCUGGGAACACUGAGGCACUGGGUACAAUCUGUGUCUUUGUUUUUCUCUACAAGAUCUAAUUGAAAGAAGGUAUUAGAGAGGACAUAGCAGAGAGCCUUUCUCCAGUUGUUACAGCAGUAAAUAUCCCUUAAGAAACUUCAAAAGCAAUGCAUGCUUGUUUGAGGAAGAAGAAAGCAAAAGGCUGUUCAGUAAUAAGCCAGGGAAAAAAGAAAACCUUGUCUGAGAGAAAAAGGACGUGACUAUAAAGAGGGAAGCAUAUAAUCUACCAGACACUCUGAGGCUUCUCAAAUCAAAAUCUAGAUUCACUUUAUGAUGCAAACCCAAGGUAACUAGAAACUGUAUUUUUAAAACUUGUACUAUUUUGCUUCAUCUUUUUUUUAAUCCAGAACAAUUAUGACUAUAUGACUGUGAUACAAAUUGAUAGAGCUUAGUUAUGGGUGUUCAGGUACUGGAAAUUUCUAUAUUUAUGAAAUAUAAUUUUUAAAAAUGUUUGAGGGCAUAUCUACAGAUGCAAUAAAAAGCCAACAAUGUCUUUUUUCACUUCAUUUUCUCCUCGCCUGAAAACUCUGCCUUGCCUUCCAGCUAUGAGAUAUUUACUUGUCUGAGAUCCUGUAAUGGAAAUAGAUUUUUGUGUAGUGAUCCUGAGCCUCUCAUGACUUAAAAUUGUAUUUCUGAGGGAAAUCGCCAGAUUUUGAGCCUAUAGAUAAACAAUUUGUAAAUGGGCUACUUGACAUAUUCAUUGUAUUGGAGUUGUCCACCUAAUAAACUUAAGAAGUAGCUCUUAGGGAGUGGAAAGAAGAUUGUUUUUAGAAUCUGGGAUCCUGUUUCGAUGUUGACUUUACCUUGAGCAAGCCCUUUCAUCACCUUCAAAUUUUUUCAUUGAUUUAUGGAAUAAAUGUCUUCAAAGUAUCGUCUAAAUCCAGUGUUCUAGAACAACGAUACACUGAUUUUCAAGUUUACAGAAUGUUGUAAACUGGAGGAGGGGUGCGGUGGGAGAAAUUUUCUUCCUAUAACUCAGAUCUUCCUAACUCAUUUUCGGGUGUAAACACACUGACUGCUUCUGGUGUAAUGUGGAUUUAUGCUUCUUGCUGUACAAUGCUUAGGCAGUGCAGAUAUGUAAAUCCCUGGCAUUGAAAAAGAAGUAGGAAAGUUGGUCAUCUUUACGCCCUGGAAAAAUCUUGUGUUCCAUGGAAGAGAAAUGUUAAGAAGCAGAGAGAAGAACUGCAAAGAAAACAAACUGCUAUGGACACAGAGAGGAUUAGGACCAUGCACUGAUUCUUUUCUUAUGGAAUAAGUUACAGUCUUAACUCCUUCCUUAUCCAAAACUUGAAUGCAAAUUUUCCAUUUUAAAUAGAUCUCCCAUUUUAAUGAUAAACUCAGGGGAAAUUCUGGCAGCUGCAGAGGAUGCCGGCAAAUUAUUAUCACCAUGUAGGAAAUUAGAGAAUAUUUUUUCCAGGAGCCCUUCCUGGUGAAUCUAGCAUAGAACAAGCUUGAAUCAACCAAAUCCUGCAUAGUAUGAUUCCAUUUUUAUGAAAUGUCCUAAAUAAGCAAAUCUGUAGAGACAGAAAGAAAGUAGAUUAGAGGUUGGGGGGAAAUGGGGAGUGACUGCUAAUGGAUUUGGUGUUUCUUUAUUAGAUGUGAUAAAAAUGUUCUAAAAUUUAUUGUGGUGAAUCAAUUUAGUGUGACUAUACUAAAACCACUGAAACGUACACUUAUGUGGGUGAAUUAUAUGAUAAAAGUGUUAAAAGGAAAAACAUUGUAGUUCUGAGUUUUAAUUGGAAAUAUUAGUAUUAAUUUAUGAGAUAUUUUAUCUUAAAAUAUUAAUAUUCAUUAAUGUGGGUAUAUGUGUAUUUGGAUAACACAUACACACACACACACAUUUUUAGGCCUGAAGGAGUCUAAAAACAAUGAUGACUUCAGUGGUCGCGAGCAUCUCCAGCACCCAGAUUCAGUUUUGAAUUCCUGUUUCUUACUAAUCAGGGCUUCCUGCAGAAAUGGCUGAAAUACAAAAUGUACAAGACUAGUCUGAAACAUCUCAUUAAACCGGAUAACAAAGACUACUGAUGUAAUGUAAUGUCAGAAGAACUUAAGAGCCAACUUAAAAAGGCUUCCCCUGACUGACAAAUAGGAGAAUUUUGUUUUAGUAAAACUAAGAAAUGUCACAUUGAAACCCAUUAGGUAUGUUUAAAUAGAUGAGUUCAUAAUGAUAUUAAAAAACAAAAAGAAUUGAUCACCUGCAAAGCAGUGAUGAAGCAAUUUAGACCUUGAAAAUCGAUAGAGAGAAAGAAAGCAUUUAUCUUGCCCUCUCUAUAUGAACUGUAUCACUGGUAACCAAGUAGUAGAUAAGCCAAGUGUCUCUUAAUAAAAUUAUUUCUGUUAAUAAAUGAAUGUAAAAUGAUCAAAGUAGAAAAUCACCCAUUUUUACAAACCCUGAGGAAUUAAUGAAUCUAGGCCAUGAUCAUCAACAGCUGCUAAUUUCUCAAAAGGAGAGCAAACUACGCAUGUGCCUCCUGAUAAAAGAACAUAUCACCUUGAUUCUUGCCAAAGGGAUCAAGUCUCUGAAUCCAGCUUCCAAUCUGUCAAAAAUACAGAGGAAAAAAUGUGUUGAACUACACUACACAUGCAUGUGCAUAAUGUGGCUGCUGUUGUUCAAAUAAUUCAAAUUUGCCCUGGUAAAUUAUAAGGAAAAGAAAGGGGAAAAGGGAGAAUUGUGGUUUAAAACAGGCAUAAAAGUGGUAGUAUUUUGUUUUUUUGUUUUUUAAUGUUUAUUUUAUUUUUGAGAGAGAGAGAGAGAGCAUAAGUGGGGGAGGAGCAUAGAGAGAGAGAGAGGGAGACACAGGAUCUGAAGCAGGCUCCAGGCUCUGAGCUGUCAGCACAGAGCCAGACAUGGGGCUUGAACCAAUGAACCAUGAGAUCAUGACCUGAGCCAGAGACAGAGGUUUAACCGACUGAACCACCCAGGCGCCCCAAAAGUUGUAGUUUGUUUUUUAAGUCUAAGGGUGAACAGUUGGUUGAUUAAUAGAAGGGAAUAAGUGCCAGGAUAUGGUUAGUUGGAGAGAAGGAAGGAGCUGUCUCAGCUGGGACACACAGGGGCCUCUGAUGGGGCUGGCAAAACUGGUUUCUUGACCUGGAUGGUAAUUACUAGGAUAUGUGCCUUAUGAUACUACACUAGGCAGUACAUGUUGUAUAUGUGUGUGUUGGGGAAGGGGGUGUCUGUAUCUCUGUGCAUCUUUAGAAUUUAAGUUUUAAAAUAAAUUAACAGCAAAAAAAUUUCCCAGAAGGGAAUUCAAGCUUGGGUGGAAUCAAUUUUGGAUCUUGGGAUCUAUUUUGGAUCUUGGGAUCUUCUCUCUAAAGGAAUGUUUAAUGUAUUUGAGUUAACUUGAUACAUACAAAUUACAGAUUAUAUAUCAGAUAUAAAGCAAGCAUAAUUCAAAUAUACAGUAUAUAUAUAAAUAUUCUACAUGUCUUAAAAUGCUGGCUGAAGAGGUAUUUUGGUAAAUGGCAUUCAUCUUUUUACUUUAUAAAAUAGAUCAUCCAAAUAACUUGAAACAGUUUACCACCUAGGUGUGGUAGUAAAUUCUCAAGUUAUAAACAGCUGUAUACUUAAUAGCAUAUAUGGUGAUUAACAUUUAUUAUAUGGAGAACAAUAAGCAAUCCUUUCAUUAAUUCAGUCUUGUCUUACAACACAUGUUGAAUUUUGUUCAGAGUUAACUCUGAAACUUGGUUUCAGUAGCAUGGAGUAAUGGUCAAUCCUAGACUCGAGCAUCAGACUUGGGCAUUCAAAUCACAGAUCUACCUUUUCAUAGCUGUGUGUGAACAUAAUGAGGGAUGUUAACCUUUCCCACCCUCUGAAGCUUCUUUAAAGGCUUAAGCGACUUAGAUGUAGACACGCAGAAAAGUCACGGGAGUAUACCGAAUGCUAUAUAAGCAUCAGCUAUUAUUAUUAUUACUUGGCCAAAAUCAUUUAUGCAGUUCAGUCUUUGGGAAGUUAUAUGGCUGAAAACCUACUUAAAUAUCCUCAUUCCUGGCAUCCCUGAACUUGGGCAUUCCCACUAAAUGAUUGUGUUUUCACAGAGGUUGUCAUCCUAGUGUGGACAGUAAUAAAAGAAAGAAGGCAAGAAAUGAAAGAAGGAAAGAAAUGAAAGAAAGAAACUCAUGGGGAGAAAAGGAUUUGCCUCAAAAUAUUUGAUUUGUGGUCCACGUUACUGAAAUGCAUGUGGUCUGUCAUUAUAAUUAGUUGUGUGAUUACUU